Molecule: non-coding RNA, 125 nt
Organism: Hordeum vulgare subsp. vulgare (domesticated barley)
Lineage: Eukaryota; Viridiplantae; Streptophyta; Magnoliopsida; Poales; Poaceae
Source: Rfam
AUUCUACUCCCUCAGUCCGGAAUUACUUGUCGGCAAAAUGGUAAGGAAUGGAUGUGUCUAGAACUAAGAUACGUAUAGAUACAUCCAUUUCUAUGACAAGUAAUUCCGGACGGAAAGAGUAAUUA